Molecule: ribosomal RNA, 751 nt
Filed under: Pseudonocardia alaniniphila
Lineage: Bacteria; Bacillati; Actinomycetota; Actinomycetes; Pseudonocardiales; Pseudonocardiaceae
Description: bacterial SSU rRNA
Rfam family: Bacterial small subunit ribosomal RNA
Source: RNAcentral
GUGCUUAACACAUGCAAGUCGAGCGGUAAGGCCCUUCGGGGUACACGAGCGGCGAACGGGUGAGUAACACGUGGGUGACCUGCCCUCAGCUCUGGGAUAAGCCUGGGAAACUGGGUCUAAUACCGGAUAUGACCUUCCAUCGCAUGGUGGGGGGUGGAAAGUUUUUCGGCUGGGGAUGGGCCCGCGGCCUAUCAGCUUGUUGGUGGGGUGAUGGCCUACCAAGGCGACGACGGGUAGCCGGCCUGAGAGGGCGACCGGCCACACUGGGACUGAGACACGGCCCAGACUCCUACGGGAGGCAGCAGUGGGGAAUAUUGCGCAAUGGGCGGAAGCCUGACGCAGCGACGCCGCGUGGGGGAUGACGGCCUUCGGGUUGUAAACCUCUUUCGACCGGGACGAAGCGUGAGUGACGGUACCGGUAGAAGAAGCACCGGCCAACUACGUGCCAGCAGCCGCGGUAAUACGUAGGGUGCGAGCGUUGUCCGGAAUUAUUGGGCGUAAAGAGCUCGUAGGCGGUGUGUCGCGUCGGUCGUGAAAACUUGGGGCUUAACUCUGAGCUUGCGGUCGAUACGGGCAUCACUUGAGUUCGGCAGGGGAGACUGGAAUUCCUGGUGUAGCGGUGAAAUGCGCAGAUAUCAGGAGGAACACCGGUGGCGAAGGCGGGUCUCUGGGCCGAUACUGACGCUGAGGAGCGAAAAGCGUGGGGGAGCGAACAGGAUUAGAUACCCUGGUUAGUCCCACGCCGUAAAAC